This 274-nucleotide ribosomal RNA is filed under the name uncultured bacterium. Its description in RNAcentral is "partial 16S ribosomal RNA". It matches the Rfam family "Bacterial small subunit ribosomal RNA", at positions 523 to 796 of the family's 1533-position model. The record is from RNAcentral.
AUACGGAGGGUCCAGGCGUUAUCCGGAAUCAUUGGGUUUAAAGGGUCCGCAGGCGGUCAAUUAAGUCAGAGGUGAAAGCCCAUCGCUCAACGAUGGAACUGCCUUUGAUACUGGUUGACUUGAGUUAUACGGAAGUAGAUAGAAUAAGUAGUGUAGCGGUGAAAUGCAUAGAUAUUACUUAGAAUACCGAUUGCGAAGGCAGUCUACUACGUAUAUACUGACGCUGAGGGACGAAAGCGUGGGGAGCGAACAGGAUUAGAUACCCCGGUAGUCC